UGGGGAAUAUUGCACAAUGGGGGAAACCCUGAUGCAGCGACGCCGCGUGAGUGAAGAAGUAUUUCGGUAUGUAAAGCUCUAUCAGCAGGGAAGAAAAACAUGACGGUACCUGACUAAGAAGCCCCGGCUAACUCCGUGCCAGCAGCCGCGGUAAUACGGAGGAUGCGAGCGUUAUCCGGAUUUAUUGGGUUUAAAGGGUGCGCAGGCGGCGGAUCAAGUCAGCGGUCAAACUUCGGGGCUCAACCCCGUUUUGCCGUUGAAACUGAUCGGCUGGAGUCUGUUCGAGGGACGCGGAAUGCGAGGUGUAGCGGUGAAAUGCAUAGAUAUCACGCAGAACUCCGAUUGCGAAGGCAGCGUCCCGGGGCGGCACUGACGCUGAGGCACGAAAGUGUGGGUAUCGAACAGGAUUAGAUACCCUGGUAGU
RNAcentral lists this ribosomal RNA (424 nucleotides) under uncultured Porphyromonadaceae bacterium. RNAcentral describes it as "bacterial SSU rRNA". It matches the Rfam family "Bacterial small subunit ribosomal RNA", at positions 355 to 794 of the family's 1533-position model. Lineage: Bacteria; Pseudomonadati; Bacteroidota; Bacteroidia; Bacteroidales; Porphyromonadaceae. The record is from RNAcentral.